Molecule: ribosomal RNA, 439 nt
Filed under: uncultured bacterium
Lineage: Bacteria
Description: partial 16S ribosomal RNA
Rfam family: Bacterial small subunit ribosomal RNA
Source: RNAcentral
CCUACGGGUGGCAGCAGUGGGGGAUAUUGCACAAUGGGGGGAACCCUGAUGCAGCGACGCCGCGUGGGUGAAGGAGCGUUUCGGCGCGUAAAGCCCUAUCGGCAGGGAAGAAGAUGACGGUACCUGACCAAGAAGCCCCGGCUAACUACGUGCCAGCAGCCGCGGUAAUACGUAGGGGGCAAGCGUUAUCCGGAUUUACUGGGUGUAAAGGGUGCGUAGGCGGGUUAUCAAGUCAGCGGUAAAAUCGUGGAGCUCAACUCCAUCCAGCCGUUGAAACUGAUGAUCUUGAGUGGGCGAGAAGUAUGCGGAAUGCGUGGUGUAGCGGUGAAAUGCAUAGAUAUCACGCAGAACUCCGAUUGCGAAGGCAGCAUACCGGCGCCCGACUGACGCUGAAGCACGAAAGCGUGGGUAUCGAACAGGAUUAGAUACCCUAGUAGUC